This 126-nucleotide ribosomal RNA is filed under the name Neosetophoma cerealis. Its description in RNAcentral is "partial 28S ribosomal RNA". The record is from RNAcentral. Lineage: Eukaryota; Fungi; Ascomycota; Dothideomycetes; Pleosporales; Phaeosphaeriaceae.
CGCCUUAAAGCAAUUGGCAGCCAGUGUUUUGGUAUUGAAGCGCAGCACAUUUUGCGAUUCUAGCCUGAAAUAGGAGCAUCCAGUAAGUCAUUUUUCACUUUUGAGGUCGGAUCAGGAGGAUACCCG